RNAcentral lists this ribosomal RNA (497 nucleotides) under uncultured bacterium. RNAcentral describes it as "partial 16S ribosomal RNA". It matches the Rfam family "Bacterial small subunit ribosomal RNA", at positions 28 to 507 of the family's 1533-position model. The record is from RNAcentral.
GAUGAACGCUGGCGGCGUGCCUAAUACAUGCCAGUCGAGCGAACAGACGAGGAGCUUGCUCCUCUGACGUUAGCGGCGGACGGGUGAGUAACACGUGGAUAACCUACCUAUAAGACUGGGAUAACUUCGGGAAACCGGAGCUAAUACCGGAUAAUAUAUUGAACCGCAUGGUUCAAUAGUGAAAGACGGUUUUGCUGUCACUUAUAGAUGGAUCCGCACCGCAUUAGCUAGUUGGUAAGGUAACGGCUUACCAAGGCAACGAUGCGUAGCCGACCUGAGAGGGUGACCGGCCACACGGGAACUGAGACACGGUCCAGACUCCUACGGGAGGCAGCAGUAGGGAAUCUUCCGCAAUGGGCGAAAGCCUGACGGAGCAACGCCGCGUGAGUGAUGAAGGUCUUCGGAUCGUAAAACGCUGUUAUUAGGGAAGAACAAAUGUGUAAGUAACUAUGCACGUCUUGACGGUACCUAAUCAGAAAGCCACGGCUAACUACGUG